Non-coding RNA from Salmo salar (Atlantic salmon), 58 nucleotides. NCBI's taxonomy places the organism in Eukaryota, Metazoa, Chordata, Actinopteri, Salmoniformes, Salmonidae. The record is from Rfam.
UGGCACAGUUGGUAGAGCAUGGUGUUUGCAAUGCCAGGGUUGUGGGUUCGAUUCCCAC